AGUGAACGCUGGCGGUAGGCCUAACACAUGCAAGUCGAACGGCAGCACAGUAAGAGCUUGCUCUUACGGGUGGCGAGUGGCGGACGGGUGAGGAAUACAUCGGAAUCUACUUUUUCGUGGGGGAUAACGUAGGGAAACUUACGCUAAUACCGCAUACGACCUACGGGUGAAAGCAGGGGAUCUUCGGACCUUGCGCGAUUGAAUGAGCCGAUGUCGGAUUAGCUAGUUGGCGGGGUAAAGGCCCACCAAGGCGACGAUCCGUAGCUGGUCUGAGAGGAUGAGCAGCCACACUGGAACUGAGACACGGUCCAGACUCCUACGGGAGGCAGCAGUGGGGAAUAUUGGACAAUGGGCGCAGGCCUGAUCCAGCCAUACCGCGUGGGUGAAGAAGGCCUUCGGGUUGUAAAGCCCUUUUGUUGGGAAAGAAAAGCAGCAGGUUAAUACCCCGCUGUUCUGACGGUACCCAAAGAAUAAGCACCGGCUAACUUCGUG
RNAcentral lists this ribosomal RNA (492 nucleotides) under uncultured bacterium. Its description in RNAcentral is "partial 16S ribosomal RNA". It matches the Rfam family "Bacterial small subunit ribosomal RNA", at positions 29 to 507 of the family's 1533-position model. The record is from RNAcentral.